GUGGGAAUAUUGGAAUAACCUAAUAACAACUAUUUCCAUUUCGUAUUUUGCCAAGGUUGGGGUCGGGAGUUCGAGUCUCCUUUCCCGCUCCA
RNAcentral lists this transfer RNA (92 nucleotides) under Acinetobacter nematophilus. RNAcentral's name for it is "tRNA-OTHER". The record is from RNAcentral. Lineage: Bacteria; Pseudomonadati; Pseudomonadota; Gammaproteobacteria; Moraxellales; Moraxellaceae.